This 2158-nucleotide unclassified non-coding RNA is filed under the name Leishmania donovani. RNAcentral describes it as "gene:LdHU3.32.0740(CDS-product:hypothetical_prote in_conserved)". Lineage: Eukaryota; Euglenozoa; Kinetoplastea; Trypanosomatida; Trypanosomatidae. The record is from RNAcentral.
AAAAACGAUUGCGUCUCGGCUUGGCUCUGCUCUUCUCCUGUCGAGCACGGGCCUGUGCGCGCGUGUGAUUUCUGGGGUGUUGCCGUGCCGUCUACCAAGGACGUUGGCGAAGCACUCCCUUGAUGUACUGGACCUCGCCUGCUUCUCGGCUGACGUUUUUUUGUGUUGUUGCUAUCCCUCCGCGUCUCGUGUCGCUCAUUGAGCCAGCGCGGGUAAGGAGGUGUGAGUCUCUCUCUUCCCUUCGCCACACACGCCGACCACAUCGCCGACUGCCUCUCGUUGCCCGUAUCGCCGCUCUGUCUGUCUCUGUGUUUCCCGCCACUCUGUUGUCAUCCACCCUUCCCCCACCGAGCUCGCUGUGCGCGUGCGUGUGUGUGUCCCUUCUUCUUUCUGUUCCGUUGACGUUAGGCCUGAUGGGCUUUCAUGAAAGCGCGGGCGCGCCGUCGCAAAACGGAGAGAGCUCGUUGUUUCCCUGCCCGCAAGGCGAGCUGCCGUCGCCGUUUGGCUGCAUACCGCCUUCGGCGGAGGACACCGUCUUCAUAAACACGAACAAGUUGGUCUGGGUGAACUCCGGUGCGCAGCUCAUCAUCAUCCUCGUUGGCGUGAUCGAAUUCCUCUUAGGUACCUUGUACUUCUUCAUUAGACGGCGGCGCACCGAGGAAAGGCUGGAACGCUCUCGUGCCGCUCGGCAGUCUUUGCGCGUGAACGAGGACGGGAACGUGGCUGACCCCCCCAAGAAGCACCUCUUCUCCCGCAGCCCAACGCUGCAUCGUCCACUAAAACCCGUGUCGGAGCUGAACGGGAGGUGCUGUGGCUGCGCGAGAAUCGCUGACACGGUGCUGCUGCCUUGCAAGCACGCCGUGUGCUGCUACUCGUGCUCCGACCACGCCACCUACUGCCCUUUCUGCAAAGAGGCCUGCACAGACCGCCAGCGACUCUUUGCGGUGUAGGCAACACGUGAGAUAAUGCGAAGGGGAGACAGAGGCAGAGAACAUUCGCAGGGACUCCACUAGCAUAACAGCGACAGAGCGAAGUCGUGAAAAACAAGCGCGCACAUCAUACACACCAGCUGGCCAGCACGGCCGUGUAUCUUGCGCUUAUCCACGGGAGAGACUGAGCUCACUUCAAGCGACUAAAGGAUCGAUUCGCUGCGGCAUUCGGUGCUGUUCUCUGACCUUUUCUUUCAGCUUGCGAAGGUAGGGCCAUACAGAGGCUGAUUGUCAUGCGUACGGCUGGAAGUUCGGUGAUGGGACCUGACAACAGAUGGUCCCACGUUUUGUCGCGCGUAAAACACGGCGACAUGUAAGCUCGUGUGAAAGGGAUGCCCACAAACUCACGAAGAGAAGUAGCCAGCACAAGAAGGGCGAGGGCGCUGGAACUGGGCGUGACUCCCCUUUCUCUCAUUAGUGAUCCUGCACGGUGACGAAGACACCGUGUCGCUGCUCAUCUGAAUUCCUCCUUGCUUUGUCUUCUUUACGUUCACGCUCUGUGGGCUGCUGCCGUGUUGCGGCGGCGGCUGCGCACCGACGGCGGCUGAUCCAGCGGGCAACAAAGCGAAGCGCGAAGGGGGGGAUAGGGUUGCGUGUGCCCAAGUUUGACGCUUCUUGAAAUUUACUGUUUCCAGAUGGGCAUGUGGUGCGCGUGGCAGAUACGGAGUAGGGGACAAGGCAGGCGCCAUCGUAUGCUAAUUCGUUUCGUUUGUCUGUCUCUCUCUCUAUCCCGUGUGUUGUUGUCUUCUUCGAUUGCGUUUUUCAGCUCAGGCUCGCUAACGGUAGCCUGGCCCUCGUUCGUACUUCAUCCUCUGUUUUGUGCUUUCGUACAUGUAGGUGCUUGUUUUUGUGUUGACAUGUGUGACGGUGUCCCCCUCCCUCCCUCUCUCUUUUGGCGUAUGUCUCCCUUUCCUUCGAUCGGCUCAUGCUGCUUCUGUCGCCUGUUUUCUUUCUGUGCCCGACGUAUACGCAUGCUUUACUCGUAUAUGUGUGAGUGUGUGCUGUACGCUCUUCCUUUUUUAUUCCCCUUUUGCCCCCUAAAAGGUGAUAGAAGCGCACUCGGCCAACGUGAGGAUCGAAGGCUACAGCGUCUCGCCAUCAGCGCUCUCUUGUGCAGCCGUGUGGGGGUAGACUGCUACGGCGCAGCGGUAUCGACUUCAUCGCCUCUC